Molecule: ribosomal RNA, 1385 nt
Filed under: uncultured bacterium
Lineage: Bacteria
Description: 16S ribosomal RNA
Rfam family: Bacterial small subunit ribosomal RNA
Source: RNAcentral
UCAGGAUGAACGCUAGCGACAGGCUUAACACAUGCAAGUCGAGGGGCAGCGGGGGCGUAGCAAUAUGCCUGCCGGCGACCGGCGCACGGGUGAGUAACACGUAUGUAACCUGCCCUAUGCAGGGGGAUAACCCGGAGAAAUCCGGCCUAAUACCGCGUAAUACCUUAGGGGAGCAUUCUCUUGAGGUUAAAGGAGAGAUCCGGCAUAGGAUGGACAUGCGUCGCAUUAGGUAGACGGCGGGGUAACGGCCCACCGUGCCGACGAUGCGUAGGGGUUCUGAGAGGAAGGCCCCCCACACUGGUACUGAGACACGGACCAGACUCCUACGGGAGGCAGCAGUGAGGAAUAUUGGUCAAUGGCCGAGAGGCUGAACCAGCCAAGUCGCGUGAGGGAAGAAUGUCCUAAGGAUUGUAAACCUCUUUUGUCGGGGAGCAAAAAGGCUCUGCGGAGUCGUAUUGAGAGUACCCGAAGAAAAAGCAUCGGCUAACUCCGUACCAGCAGCCGCGGUAAUACGGAGGAUGCGAGCGUUAUCCGGAUUUAUUGGGUUUAAAGGGUGCGCAGGCGGCGUGUCAAGCAAGCGGUAAAAUAGCGGGGCUCAACCCCGUCGAGCCGUUUGAACUGGCGCGCUUGAGUUCAGGCGAGGUAGGCGGAAUUCGUGGUGCAGCGGUGAAAUGCAUAGAUAUCACGAAGAACUCCGAUUGCGAAGGCAGCUUACCAGUCUGCGACUGACGCUCAGGCACGAAAGUGUGGGUAUCGAACAGGAUUAGAUACCCUGGUAGUCCACACAGUAAACGAUGAGCGCUAGGGGUCCGGGUCGAAUGAGGCUUGGGUGCCCGAGCGAAAGCGUUAAGCGCUCCACCUGGGGAGUACGCCGGCAACGGUGAAACUCAAAGGAAUUGACGGGGGCCCGCACAAGCGGAGGAACAUGUGGUUUAAUUCGAUGAUACGCGAGGAACCUUACCCGGGCUCAAACGACUCAGGAAUAUAUUGGAAACGAUGUAGCCAGCAAUGGUCUGAGUCGAGGUGCUGCAUGGUUGUCGUCAGCUCGUGCCGUGAGGUGUCGGCUUAAGUGCCAUAACGAGCGCAACCCCUACCGCCAGUUGCCAACGGGUAAAGCCGGGAACUCUGGCGGGACUGCCGGCGCAAGCUGCGAGGAAGGCGGGGAUGACGUCAAAUCAGCACGGCCCUUACGUCCGGGGCGACACACGUGUUACAAUGGCAGGUACAGCGGGAAGCCACCUGGUGACAGGGAGCGGAACUCGAAAGCCUGUCUCAGUUCGGAUUGGAGUCUGCAACUCGACUCCAUGAAGCUGGAUUCGCUAGUAAUCGCGCAUCAGCCAUGGCGCGGUGAAUACGUACCCGGGCCUUGCACACACCGCCCGUCA